This is a long non-coding RNA of Pipra filicauda (Wire-tailed manakin), 1863 nucleotides long. RefSeq lists it as uncharacterized. Lineage: Eukaryota; Metazoa; Chordata; Aves; Passeriformes; Pipridae. The record is from RefSeq and is a predicted model, not a curated record. The transcript has 4 exons.
AGUGCAGCACCGAGCGCGGUCGUGGUUGUCACCACCGGGGCCAGCCCGACCCCUGCCCGGUGCGCUCAGCCCCGGGACCAGCGACCGCCGUCAGCGCUAAACAAAGUCAUCAUCGACCCCACCACCCAAAUCCGGCCUGUGCCGUGGUUUCAUUUUCUUGUUGUUUUUAUUAAUCUCCAAAGCUGCUAAUGAGCCAGCAAAAUCCGCGCAGUUUCCGCAACGAGCGCUUGCCCAAAACUUGAAACACUCUUUACAUUUCAAGUUCAUCUUCCGUUUCUUUCCGUAAAACCUGAACUUUAAUUCCUCGCGGCAAAGGAAAAACUGGAAUAAGUAUUACAAAAGUUUCCCUGCAAUUGAAAUUCUGACCCCUGCAAUGUUGUGCCACAGCAGUGCCCUUGCCCUGGUCAGAGCCUCCCCAAAGCUGAGGGAAGAAAACACUUUUUAUUCAGCAUUUUCAGAAACCUUGUACUUUGGGAGCAGAAAACCUCUGAAGUGACAGGAAUUGGUUAAUUCUUCCAGGCUCUUCAUUGCACAGCCUCAGCACUUCACGGAUUCUUCUUGCUGCCAAGCUGACCAGUACUUAAACUGAUACUUUUCCUGCUUAAGAAAAAACACAGCAGAUUUUUCUUCCAAAAUACAACCACGUCUAAGUUGACUCUUCCCCUUAAAGUAAAUAUGGACUGAAGGUGAACUUGGGAAGAUCAAGGGAACUGCACAAUCCUUUCAAAUGCUCUGCAAGGGACAAUGGAAGGUCAGAGUGCAGAAAGCAGAGACUCUUAUACCUCCCUGCAAGCAGAUUUUUCUCAGUUGUCCCAGCCCUAAGGUAUCAUGGAAUGUAUCACCCUCUUGCCCUCCCUUUCAGGGACAACUGAACCUUGGUUCGUAGAGAACCACCUAACACACCUCCAGGGAAUAGCGGCUGAGGACUGAGGAGUUCCGGAUCCUUAUCUGCACACAGCGAUGAUGUGGAAAAAGGAAAAGUGACAGAUGUUUUCAUGCUGGACUGGCUGGAAGGGCAGGGCAGGGAUGCCUUCUCCUUGCCGUGCUUUCACUUCCACUCCGCUGCUCCGUCCCACGUCACUCACAGCAGCCUUAGGACCAAAUUAAAGCUCCGGCGGUGUCAGUGUUCAGAAGACUCUCCCCUCAUCCCGCUGGAUGCAGCGGAUGGAGCUGCACGCUCCGCUCCCGGCUCCCCGCCCGCUGUCCCUGGUGCUGGAGCCGCUCCCUUCGCCGCCGCUCCCGCUCCCAGCGGGGACCCGCUGGAUCCCGGCGCUCCAAGCCCUCCCCGGGCAUGCAGUGCCCUUCAAGCCAACCUCCCGCAGCGGUUGUGGCAGAGGACGAGGAGCCCUCCCGUUCCCACACGUCGGCAUUCCCAGGGAGCGCCAGCUGGCCGUGCUGUCAGCCCCGGGCACAGGGACCAGCCUCAGGUCUGGCCCGGACCUCGGGACCUGUGCAGAGACCACGUUGUGAUCUGGAAAUAAAGCCAGCACUACCAAAAACAAUUGGAAAAACUGGAAUUUUGAAGUGCCGAGAUGGAUAAUUUGAAGUCGUGCUGGACCUAUCCAGGUUCAUCUCAUUUUUCCUUAUGGGAAUGCAAGAGCACACCGUUGAGCUGUGGCCAAACCUCCCCAGCUCAGCUACUGAGACCCACAACUACAGAAACAGUCAGUCAUGGCAGGGUGCUCAGUACCCAAGAAACACUGUUGAACAUUUCCUACUAUUGUACUGUCCAUAUUAAUUACAUAUUUCUAUUUAAAAUGUGGACAUCCUAUGUGUUCAUCUGUGAAAUUAUUUGGAUUAUUUUUAUCUAGAUAAAUUCAGUAUUGUGCAUGUGUAUAUUCAAAAUAAAUAAUGUAUAUGACA